AAUCUUAAGCAGGUCAAUGCUCCAAACACAGCUUCAACCUGCUGUGAAGCCAUGCUCAAUGGACUGUCUCUUUGUCACAUUCGGAUCACAGACGUGUCUGACAGAGCAUCUUUUGGAGAGGAAUGCUUUUAAAAUGUAGCAGAAGUCAGCUGUGGCUCUUUUGAGUCUCCGUGACCUUCAGUGGCCACAACUGUGUUCAACAUUUCAAUACUGUAUCCAGAUUAAUUGUAAUGGCCGGAGAGAAGAGCGCCUUCACGAAUAACUACAUUCAGAACGCAGAAAACCUUGACGAGUAUGAAGUCCGUCCUUCAGGAGUUCCUCGAGGUUCAGUAUCGCAGAUCUUUAACCGCUAACUCGCUUGACCCUGUGCAAACCACAGAUGGCCCUGAACAGAACCAGACCAGAAUAAUCUAAUACAGCAGUGAAGUACUGAUGUUUGUUUAGUGUUACUUCGGGUUCAAACCACAGCGGAGGUUGAGCUGAACGGCUGGAUAGUUUAUUGAUCCGAGUGACGCACUGCAUUUCUCUCUGCUGGGCUCGAGGGUUUUGAUUGACAGCUGCUCCAGUGCUGAUCAGCUGCCCCAGGUCUCUGGUGAUGGAUUUGAAGACUGCAGAGACUGUAUUGAGCUGUAGCUGCUACCUAUU
Paramisgurnus dabryanus is the source of this 645-nucleotide non-coding RNA. NCBI's taxonomy places the organism in Eukaryota, Metazoa, Chordata, Actinopteri, Cypriniformes, Cobitidae. The record is from RefSeq and is a predicted model, not a curated record.